GAUGAACGCUAGCGGCAGGCCUCAUACAUGCAAGUCGAGGGGCAGCAGAACAUUUCGGUGUUGCUGGCGACCGGCGAACGGGUGCGUAACGCGUAUGCAAUCUACCUUGUACUGGGGCAUAGCUCUCGGAAACGAGAAUUAAUACCCCAUAUAAUCUUGACAGCACAUGCUGAUAAGAGGAAAGCUCCGGCGGUACAAGAUGGGCAUGCGUCCCAUUAGCUAGUUGGUAAGGUAACGGCUUACCAAGGCAACGAUGGGUAGGGGUUCUGAGAGGAAGAUCCCCCACACUGGCACUGAGAUACGGGCCAGACUCCUACGGGUGCAG
Molecule: ribosomal RNA, 325 nt
Filed under: uncultured Bacteroidota bacterium
Lineage: Bacteria; Pseudomonadati; Bacteroidota
Description: bacterial SSU rRNA
Rfam family: Bacterial small subunit ribosomal RNA
Source: RNAcentral